UGCUUAAUAACUUUGAGAUGAUAGAAGGCCAUCUUUGCUAGCCUAUAUAUCCCAUAUUUGUCCUUUUACUAUAUAUGAUCCUAGUUCGCCCCCUUUGAGCCUUAUUUUCUAUUUUAUUUGAUUUAGCCAUGGGUGAGAACUUGGAGAUUGUUGAUGUGGGGUAGUUGGCGUUGUGGAGAUGUGUGAUUUUGAAUUAUGAAUUUUGUUCUUGAUUGGAAAAUCCUAGUACCCUAACUUGUUUGAAAAAAAAAUGAAAAAAGAAAGAAAUAAAAAAAAAUAAAAAGAAAAAAAGAGGUACAUAGGAUGCUUUAGAAAGUCAUAAUGUCAUGAGGAAUAAUUGAUGAGUUGUGAUGGAUUUUGUAUUGAAAAUUUUAGUUUUAUGGGAGG
Molecule: long non-coding RNA, 387 nt
Filed under: Salvia miltiorrhiza (redroot sage)
Lineage: Eukaryota; Viridiplantae; Streptophyta; Magnoliopsida; Lamiales; Lamiaceae
Description: long non-coding RNA (SMIL_LNC011034)
Source: RNAcentral